Long non-coding RNA from Labrus mixtus (cuckoo wrasse), 403 nucleotides. RefSeq lists it as uncharacterized. The transcript has 3 exons. The record is from RefSeq and is a predicted model, not a curated record. Lineage: Eukaryota; Metazoa; Chordata; Actinopteri; Labriformes; Labridae.
CUUAUCGUAGCAGGAAACAGAAACAGGAGCGACCAGGUGAAACAAGUGACAAAGGGUUUCCCAGUGAACCAGAACUUCAGCAGGAACCUGAAACCGGCUCACCUCAGAGGAAUGCAGUGUAUGCCAGGUCCUCGAACGUGGGGCCCAGAACGGAGAUGCUCAUCCCCUGAAACAAAACGAGAGUGGAGUCACUGCACAGAUCUCCCUCCACCCCUCACAGCUUCCUCAAAGCAAAUUGAGGAAGAAGCAUAACCGCCCCAGAAGAAAGCAGGUACACAAGCCACAGGUGUACACUGAUGGAUUUCAUGAAUCUGAUCUGGUGGGUUGAAGAACAAGUUUUGCAGCUAUGUAAAUCCUGUCUGUGCAGGAUGUCACAACGUCACCUUUUACACAUUCACAACUC